AAAUAAGCCACAUCACACCUGUGCUCCACCCAUCACUGGAACAUGGACAUGCUUGAAAGACACGAGACAGACAGACAACUGAGAGGUGUGGAUAUAGGCACACAAAAACUAUUCUUGCAGCAAAUCAUAUGCCAUAAUACCACAAAAGUUCCAUGACCGUUUGCCUAGUAUACAACAGCCUACGUUAAUCAUGUUGGCCAAUGUAGACAUGUCACUGGCAGAACGCUGCUGACACAAUGGACAGUGUUGCGAAAUGUGCUCUGCGACUCCAGCCGAAUCACAACGACGGAUAUUGAGACAGAGAGCGUUUUAAACCACAUUAUAGCCUACAAAUAUCCUACUGUUUUACGUAGAGCCUAUGGCUCUGAAUUUACUCGUGACAAUUUGUGAGCGACAAAAACCAAGUCUAUACAAGAUUUUUGGCCGACGUGCGCAGCGUGGCUUUAAUUUAUAAACAAUAAGCGUUCCUGGAGCUGCUGGCCUUUUGAAAGGCGACAAUGACGAGGGACACGCAGCCCCCUCCUUAUGCUAUAAUCUACAUGACCUGAGCCCUAGGACCAUGCCCCAGGACUACCUGACAUGAUGACUCCUUGCUGUCCCCAGUCCACCUGGCCAUGCUGCUGUUCCAGUUUCAACUGACCUGAGCCCUAGGACCAUGCCCCAGGACUACCUGACAUGAUGACUCCUUGCUGUCCCCAGUCCACCUGGCCAUGCUGCUGCUCCAGUUUCAACUGUUCUGCCUUAUUAUUAUUCGACCAUGCUGGUCAUUUAUGAACAUUUGAACAUCUUGGCCAUGUUCUGUUAUAAUCUCCACCCGGCACAGCCAGAAGAGGACUGGCCACCCCACAUAGCCUGGUUCCUCUCUAGGUUUCUUCCUAGGUUUUGGCCUUUCUAGGGAGUUUUUCCUAGUCACCGUGCUUCUACACCUGCAUUGCUUGCUGUUUGGGGUUUUAGGCUGGGUUUCUGUACAGCACUUUGAGAUAUCAGCUGAUGUACGAAGGGCUAUAUAAAUACAUUUGAUUUGAUUUGAUUUGAUUCCAAGCACCGCCCUCCUUUUGAAGCUUCCAGUCAGUUAUUCAAACUCAAUUAGCACGACAGAGUGAUCUCCAGCCUUGUCCUCGUCAACACACACCUGUGUUAACAAGAGAAUCACUGACAUGAUGUCAGCUGGUCCUUUUGUGGCAGGGCUGAAAUGCAGUGGAAAUGUUUUUGGGGGAUUCAGUUAAUUUGCAUGGCAAAGAGGGACUUUGCAAUUAAUUACAAUUCAUCUGAUCACUCUUCAUAACAUUCUGGAGUAUAUGCAAAUUGCCAUCAUACAAACUGAGGCAGCAGACUUUGUGAAUUUUUUUAUUUGUGUCGUUCUCAAAACAUUUGGCCACGACUGUACAGCUUAUAUACACACACAUCUAUUCUGGCAACAACCCCUAGUUGAUGCUGAGAUGCUAAUAUGAUGAUAUGGAAAGAGGAAACACCUUCUGUCCAUAACACAACCCUCAGUGUGUAAAACAACCUUAAAUGCAGUGUACUGACAAAUUAACAGUAAGUUUCUGAAAAAUAGGCCAACCAACCCAAGGUCGGUAACUGGUUGGAUCAAAUCACAUUCUAUUUAACACAUGCUUCGUAAACAACAGCUGUAGACUAACAGUGAGAUGCUUCGUUACGGACUCCUCCCAGUAAUGCAGACAGACAAAUAUAGAACAAAAUAACAGUAACGAUAACUUAGCUAUACAGUGGGGCAAAAAAGUAUUUAGUCAGCCACCAAUUGUGCAAGUUCUCCCAAUUAAAAAGAUGAGAGAGGCCUGUAAUUUUCAUCAUAGGUACACUUCAACUAUGACAGACAAAAUGAGAAAAAAAAUCCAGAAAAUCACAUUGCGAGAUUUCUUAUAAGAGUCCGGAUUAGUCUCCCGUUCCUUGAAAGUGGCAGCUCUAGCCUUUAGCUCGAUGCAGAUGUUGCCUUUAAUUCAUGGCUUCUGGUUGGGAUAUGUAUGUACGGUCACUGUGGGUCUUUUGGGGAGGUAUGCGAAUUGGAGUGGGAUAGAUGUCACCAGGGGUACGCUGCUCCAGUCAGUGAGAAAACAGACGGCAGAGACAUUGCCUAAGUUUACUUUAUUUAUUUAGGACUGGCGGUUGGACAUGGUAAAGGUUGGUGUGUGUGUGGUUCUGUCAAUAGCAGGUUACAUAACAUGAAAAGAUAAACAAGCUCCACUCCCCCUCCAUAGAAACUUAAAUUGGGUCCUGGAUCUUCGUAUAUAAUCCAAAGAACAGAACUCUGGUAAAUAAACAUACAUUUUUACACGACAUAAAAGGUGAUAAGGACAAACCUAUUAAACCAAUACAGCUCAAAUAUUGAAAAUAUAAAAAACAAAAACAACUUUUAACUAGGACACACAACUGGAAAUAAACUGAUAAAUUGCUUGACAGGCUUUAAAUACAAACUAGAAGUGUGAAUGAGCCAAUCGGGGCAGUCCUGAUAAUUAGUGACAGGUGUGUGAUUGCAUGAGAGUGUCAACAGGUGAAAUCAACUUGCCUAAUCAAGUCCAUCUCAGCAGUAUGCUGCUCCACUCUGGGUGCUUUUGUACAGUCUCACUGUCAUUGUUGGUUACAGAUGUAUGAAUGGGCUGCCUUGGCUAACUAAGCUGUGUCAGUGUGCGUGUGUGCACGCACGUGUGCAUGCGCGGCUGAAGGGGAUAUAGCUGAUUAAAUUACCUGUCUGUAGGGAACCAGGAGGUCGCCACGCCAGAUAAUUUAGUCAGAAGACAUGCUGUCAUUGGUGUGUGUGCGUGUGUGUGUUGUGGGGGGGAGUCCCCUGUGGUGAUAGGGGGUAUCCAGGAUGAAGUCAUCUCUCAUGGGAUUCUUAAUUAGAUCGCCCCCCCCCCCUUCUCCUACUGUAUUCCCUUAAAUUCUCUCUCCCCCUUCCCUCCCCCUCUGCUUCCCUGCAAGACCAGAGCAGACAUAAAAGAACCAGACUGACACACAUACUCAUCCUUUACACCCUUUCUAUAUUACUGACUCCUGCCUGCCUUGACCUGUCGUUUGCCUGCCCUGGUGAUUGUAAUAAACUCUUGUUACUUCUA
Long non-coding RNA from Oncorhynchus nerka (sockeye salmon), 3074 nucleotides. RefSeq lists it as uncharacterized. The transcript has 2 exons. The record is from RefSeq and is a predicted model, not a curated record. NCBI's taxonomy places the organism in Eukaryota, Metazoa, Chordata, Actinopteri, Salmoniformes, Salmonidae.